Molecule: non-coding RNA, 492 nt
Organism: Vigna umbellata (rice bean)
Lineage: Eukaryota; Viridiplantae; Streptophyta; Magnoliopsida; Fabales; Fabaceae
Source: RefSeq, a predicted model, not a curated record
ACAAUUCACAGGAUUCCCUGUGAUUUAUAUAACUGAAAAUGGAAGAGGCAAUGAGGUCAGUCAAGACAAGGAGACACUUGAGGAAGCUCUUAUAGAUAUUUAUAGAAUCGAUUUUUAUUAUCGUCAUCUCUAUUAUCUACUUUCAGCAAUAAGGGACGGCCAUGUAAAUGUAAAAGGAUUAUUUGGCGUGGUCACUUUUGGCACAAUUUUGAAUGGGCGGAGAGAUGGCUAGUUAAUAGGAUUUGGACUGAAUUAUGUGGACAGACAAACUCAGAAGCGAUAUCCCAAACUUUCAGCAAAGUGGUUUAAGAGUUUUCUUCAGAAAAAGUUAUUAGGAUAAUUGCAACGCACAUCUGUUACAAUAGUUUGGGAGAUAAUCUCUUAUGUAAUGUUGCCUAUUAAUAAAUUUCAGUGAAGAGUGAAGUGUGUCAGCUGUUAAUCUUUUUAUUGAUGUAAUGUUUUUUUUGUUAGUGAAAUGUGCUUUGCUUGUUU